Molecule: transfer RNA, 86 nt
Filed under: Lachnospiraceae bacterium
Lineage: Bacteria; Bacillati; Bacillota; Clostridia; Lachnospirales; Lachnospiraceae
Description: tRNA-Leu
Rfam family: tRNA
About the family: Transfer RNA (tRNA) molecules are approximately 80 nucleotides in length.
Source: RNAcentral
GCCGGCGUGGCGGAACUGGCAGACGCACAGGACUUAAAAUCCUGCGAGGCUAACCCCUCGUACCGGUUCGAUUCCGGUCGCCGGCA